Long non-coding RNA from Xiphophorus maculatus (southern platyfish), 257 nucleotides. RefSeq lists it as uncharacterized. Lineage: Eukaryota; Metazoa; Chordata; Actinopteri; Cyprinodontiformes; Poeciliidae. The transcript has 3 exons. The record is from RefSeq and is a predicted model, not a curated record.
GCCCUCCAAAGCCUAUACCUGCAGAGCAGGAAACAACAAAAGCCUUGAUUUAUCCAGUGGCUGAAAAUAAAGUUCUGCAGGAGUUACCUUCUGCAAGCGGACACAGCUUCCUCCAGCAGGUGAUGCCACCCUCCUGUGUGUACUGGCCCAUGGUUGUUUCCAGCAGGAACAGAGCAGAGGUAAGGAAACCUCCAGACGUUGCCGAAGCCGACAACAUUUCCAGCCACGGCCAGCAGAAACUCCACCUUGCUCCCCCA